AAAUGCGAUAAGUAAUGUGAAUUGCAGAAUUCAGUGAAUCAUCGAAUCUUUGAACGCACCUUGCGCCCGCCAGCACUCUGGCGGGCAUGCCUGUUCGAGCGUCAUUUCAACCCUCAGAACCCCUUGCGGGAUCUGGCGUUGGGGAUUGGCAUCCAGCCAGCCCCGAAAUCUAGUGGCGGUCCCUCCGCGACCUCCCCUGUGCAGUAGCGAUACCUCGCAGCGGGACAGCGGUCUGACCACGCCGUAAAACCCCCAACUUCUCAAGGUUGACCUCGAAUCAGGUAGGAAUACCCGCUGAACUUAAGC
This 306-nucleotide unclassified non-coding RNA is filed under the name plant metagenome. RNAcentral describes it as "partial contains 5.8S ribosomal RNA, internal transcribed spacer 2, and large subunit ribosomal RNA". The stretch from base 1 to 104 matches the Rfam family "5.8S ribosomal RNA", at positions 51 to 154 of the family's 154-position model. The record is from RNAcentral.